CCAGCAUGUGCGCAUGGAUCACUCAUUAUUAGACGCUGACUAAGAGAACUGGUUGGGGUUUAAGUAACCUUUAAGUUAAAGUUUAGAUCAUUAAGUCAUGCCUCACAGGUGCCUUUACUUUUCAACUGCUUGUAAAAAAGUGAAUUAGCCAAUCAGCUCUAAGCCUGGAGUUAUCCGUUUCACAACAGGCUUUGCCUUUGUUCCUUAUUUUAAAAAAAAAGAUCAUCUGAUUUUCAUCUGGGCCACACAGCAGCUCCUCUCCUCCCCUCUGGCCUCCGACUGAGCAGGCGACUUCACCAGAUAUGACAGAGCAAAUUCAUCCUCGCCCCGACGAAAGACAGAGCGUCUCCUUCUCUCCACCGGAACCGAGAGGGGCAGUCGGCGACACGGCAGCUCUGGCUGGACGCCGGUCUGGAGCGCUGGGAGCAGUCGCUCUCCAGCGUGGUCCGUCGGUCUCCAGCCUGGCAGAACACAUCCCUUUGCUGGACGCCGUCGCCACACGACGCUGAACACUGAGAAACAAGACAGAAAUGUGAAGAAAUCCAAGUUGGAACCUGGAGCGUGGAUGAUUUAGUGAAAGUACAGUUUGUUGAAGGCACAGCAGCAGUGUUUUUAAUGAAAGUGUGUCUUUUCUGCUGUAAUACAGAACACAUUUCUACAGAAAACACAAAGAAUGACAGAGGGAUGAAGACUCAAUUUCUGUGAAAUCUGCUCAGAUGUUAAAGUGAUAGUUUGAGUUUUUUGAAGUGGGGUUGUACGAGGUAUUUAUCCAUAGUCAUCGUGUGUCACCUACAGUGGACAGCAGACAGACGACAGAUUGGAGUAGCAGACAGCUACACAGAGAGCCUGGCACAGAAGCAGAGCUAUGCACUGCUGUGGAGAGGAUCAUUUUAACCACAUAAAAAGAGGAAGAAAAAACUUUGGUAUUUUUUCAACCUGAACCUUAUUUUCUCUUGGGUUUCUGUCAAAGAGACUAAUGGAGAACAACAAAUCUGGUCCAGGCUUGCAGCCUCAAAAUGGGUUGCAACAUAAUCCUAAAAUGAGCUUUAGUGCACGGCAGAGUGUAGGUUAUGUGUAGGAAUACAGUUAGUGCCAAAAUAAAAGGUGGGCCCUUUUUAGUGGCUAAAAUAGAUUUUUUUUUUUUCUGCUGACCAUAUCCACAGCAGUGCUUAGCUCUGCUUCUGUGCUGGGAUCCCUGUCUGCUUCUCCAGACUACGGGCGCACUGGCGGCUGGUAAUACACAGACUAUAUGUUGAUACCUCAGACAACCCCACUUUGAAACUAACCCUUUAACCCAGAUGACUGAAACAGUCACAUAUUAUAAGCAAUGCAUAUAUUUAAAUAUUACUUUCAGAUAUGAUAUUUCACUGUAACUCUCUUGUGUCUUUUCUCCUUUCAGACAGAUGUCAAUGAUUGAUGCUAAUGUAACGCUAAUGAACUAUGCAAUACAUUUACAAUAACAGAUCAUUUAUGCAGCUUUGAAUGACAAAAAGUAUGACUGAUACAAUGUUUGAAUUUGUGUGUAUAUGUGUAUAUGAGAGAGACAACCGUUAUAACUGCUCAUAUGUUUGCAGGUUAAAGGAGCAGGAAGUAAUAAACAUCUCCAGAUGAUCAAGCUGAGGUGAUAACUGGAUGGGUUCCAGAGGUUCAGCAGCUUCAGAGCGAGUCUGAUAAAGACUUAUAUGUCCAUUCAAAUGCGAAAUAACUUUAUAUAUUUUACUUUGUAUUAUCUGCCAUGCAGUUUCAGCAGUUGAACCACUAGGUAGCCUGCUGCACUAUGGCUAAUCAUGCUGUACUUGACUAAGAGCUUUGUGUGGAGUAUCAUUUUCUCCUGGCAUGUGUCCUGCUCCACAGCUGUUGAGAGCAGACGCACAUCCUCUCUAAAGUAUGGAGCACAGAUGUGGUUCUGUGCACGGACUCUAGGCCAGUGAGGUGAAUUCAGAGAAUGAGAGAGACAUGGAGGGUAAAGAGAGGAAAAGAAAAAGUGAUCUCAGACAGACUCUCCAGCAGCCCAGGUGCACAUUGCGGGUGUGUCUGGCAUGAUGACGUUAGUGGACUGCCUUCUUAGUAGGGCAUUCAAAGAAAAGACUAACAUGUGGUUCCCAUUGGGGAGGCAGGAGGCAGGGAAGAAAGAAGUGAAAAGGGGCUUGAAAGAAAAAAAAAGUGAUCAGUGGAGGAAAGAGCAACAGUGAAAAGGAGGAUUAAAGGGACAGAGAGGAGAGUAAAGUGAGGGCCAGAGGAAGAGAAAAUAUAGAUGACAGGAAUAGAUUUACACUGGCCGGACUUGACAUCAGUUAAGCUCAGAUCAAAGAAAGGUGGUCACACUUACUGUACUGUGAAGUUGCAGCCCCUGCAUACACUACCUCAAAAUCUCUGUUAGCUGACCCAGGUCUAUGCUGCAACCCAGCAAACCACCAUGUGAUGUGUAAAAGCACCCUGCCUUAGUUAGUGGCUCGGCAUGGUGCGUAAAUACAGUCAGGUUUAGCUGCAUAUGUUUGCACACACAUGCACACAUUUGCAAGCAGGCUGGUAAGUAUUA
Larimichthys crocea (large yellow croaker) is the source of this 2539-nucleotide long non-coding RNA. RefSeq lists it as uncharacterized. The record is from RefSeq and is a predicted model, not a curated record. The transcript has 3 exons. NCBI's taxonomy places the organism in Eukaryota, Metazoa, Chordata, Actinopteri, Sciaenidae.